GACGAACGCUGGCGGCGUGCUUAACACAUGCAAGUCGAACGGAAAGGCCUCUUUCGGGGGGUACUCGAGUGGCGAACGGGUGAGUAACACGUGAGUAACCUGCCCUUGACUUUGGGAUAACUUCAGGAAACUGGGGCUAAUACCGGAUAGGAGCUCCUGCUGCAUGGUGGGGGUUGGAAAGUUUCGGCGGUUGGGGAUGGACUCGCGGCUUAUCAGCUUGUUGGUGGGGUAGUGGCUUACCAAGGCUUUGACGGGUAGCCGGCCUGAGAGGGUGACCGGCCACCUUGGGACUGAGAUACGGCCCAGACUCCUACGGGAGGCAGCAGUGGGGAAUCUUGCACAAUGGGUGGGAGCCUGAUGCAGCAACGCCGUGUGCGGGAUGACGGCCUUCGGGUUGUAAACCGCUUUCGCUCAUGACGAAGCUUUGUGUGACGGUAGUGGGUAAAGAAGCACCGGCUAACUACGUG
RNAcentral lists this ribosomal RNA (467 nucleotides) under uncultured bacterium. RNAcentral's name for it is "partial 16S ribosomal RNA". It matches the Rfam family "Bacterial small subunit ribosomal RNA", at positions 28 to 507 of the family's 1533-position model. The record is from RNAcentral.